UACGUAGGGUGCGAGCGUUGUCCGGAAUUAUUGGGCGUAAAGGGCUCGUAGGCGGCCAACUAAGUCGGACGUGAAAUCCCCAGGCUCAACCUGGGAACUGCGUCCGAUACUGGAUGGCUUGAAUCCGGGAGAGGGAUGCAGAAUUCCAGGUGUAGCGGUGAAAUGCGUAGAUAUCUGGAGGAAUACCGGUGGCGAAGGCGGCAUCCUGGACCGGCAUUGACGCUGAGGAGCGAAAGCCAGGGGAGCAAACGGG
RNAcentral lists this ribosomal RNA (253 nucleotides) under uncultured bacterium. Its description in RNAcentral is "partial 16S ribosomal RNA". It matches the Rfam family "Bacterial small subunit ribosomal RNA", at positions 524 to 776 of the family's 1533-position model. The record is from RNAcentral.